RNAcentral lists this ribosomal RNA (795 nucleotides) under uncultured bacterium. Its description in RNAcentral is "bacterial SSU rRNA". It matches the Rfam family "Bacterial small subunit ribosomal RNA", at positions 8 to 796 of the family's 1533-position model. The record is from RNAcentral.
AGAGUUUGAUCCUGGCUCAGGAUGAACGCUAGCGGCAGGCUUAACACAUGCAAGUCGAGGGGCAGCGCGGGAUAGCAAUAUCCUGGCGGCGACCGGCGGAAGGGUGCGUAACGCGUGAGCGACAUGCCCGUUGCCCGGGGACAACCGGUGGAAACGCCGACUAAUCCCCGAUGGGAUACGAUGCUUCAUGGCAUUGUAUUGAAAGUUACGGCGGCGACGGAUUGGCUCGCGUCCGAUUAGCUUGUUGGCGGGGUAACGGCCCACCAAGGCUGCGAUCGGUAGGGGUUCUGAGAGGAAGGCCCCCCACAAUGGGACUGAGACACGGCCCAUACUCCUACGGGAGGCAGCAGUGAGGAAUAUUGGUCAAUGGGCGGAAGCCUGAACCAGCCAUGCCGCGUGCGGGAAGGAGGCCCUAUGGGCUGUGAACCGCUUUUGCCUGGGGGCAAUAAGGGCGUCGCGCACGUCCGAUGAGAGUACCAGGCGAAUAAGCAUCGGCUAACUCCGUGCCAGCAGCCGCGGUAAUACGGGGGAUGCGAGCGUUAUCCGGAUUCAUUGGGUUUAAAGGGUGCGUAGGCUGUGCGUCAAGUCGGGGGUGAAAUUCCGGUGCUCAACACCGGGGCUGCCCUUGAUACUGUCGCGCUGGAGUGCGGAUGCCGCCGGAGGAAUGAGUGGUGUAGCGGUGAAAUGCUUAGAUAUCACUCAGAACACCGAUUGCGAAGGCAUCUGGCGAAUCCGUAACUGACGCUGAGGCACGAAAGCGUGGGGAUAGAACAGGAUUAGAUACCCUGGUAGUCC